Molecule: long non-coding RNA, 863 nt
Organism: Anguilla rostrata (American eel)
Lineage: Eukaryota; Metazoa; Chordata; Actinopteri; Anguilliformes; Anguillidae
Exons: 4
Source: RefSeq, a predicted model, not a curated record
GAUCAACAAUCAGCUCAAUUGUUGCCCAUUGCUCACGUGAGGUUGUUAGGCACAGGCUACCUGGAAUGUCAUAAUUUAGCGGCCAGACUUGGGCAGACAUUAUCUGUUGCAGAUUCACCACCCGGUAAGGUGGCUGUACCUUAUGUGCCUCAGAUGUGUUUGGCAGUAUGGCAUCCUUCUCCUAGAUUCCAUCAGGUUGAAACUGGGGCAUGGUCUGAGAGCUCUCGGAAUGAUGGAGUCAGAAGACAGCCUGAUUGCUGCCUGAUCCCCCAGGCAUCGGCCUUAAUGAAGACUUAAUUCAGCUGCGCUGUGCACGUCGUCAGCCCCGGCCCAUGUGUUCUGUGGGUUCCCAUUCCACAGUGGGGCACGGGGGUGGCAGGGAGCCCCUAACGGCUAUGAGGACAGAAGCAAGGCGACUGCAGAGAUGACUGCUACCUGAAGGAAGACAAGUCAGAGCAAAGCUGCUGUGCAGAAGUGCCAGUCCCCUCUCCUGUGCUCAGAUGAAGGACAUUAUCAGUAGCGGCUGCUGAGCUGAAAAUUAAUGGGGUGGAAAACUUCUCCUUAAACUGAUUAUUGCACUCAACCUGUUUUCAACCAUUUUGCUUGAUUAACAAUACAACAAUUAAUUCACAAAAUACUCAAUACUAUCAAAUAUAGGCAGACCUCCUCAAAUGGACUAUUAAGCCCGUAAUAAAAUUCUUUGUACUUACAUCACAAAAUUGUGCACAUUUUAUUUACGUUAUUUAAAACUGUGCAUGCAUGUCCUGUUUGUUCUCCUCACUCACACACAAUUCACAGAUUUUGCCAUUUAAAUGAUCUUGAAGCACACAUUCUGUUGGUAUUUAUUGCAGGUUUUGCUGAAA